UAGGGAAUAUUGCGCAAUGGAGGAAACUCUGACGCAGCGACGCCGCGUGGGUGAUGAAGGAUUUCGGUUCGUAAAGCCCUGUCGGAAGGGAAGAAAAAUACUAUGGCUAACAUCCAUAGUACUUGACGGUACCUUUAAAGGAAGCACCGGCUAACUACGUGCCAGCAGCCGCGGUAAUACGUAGGGUGCUAGCGUUGUUCGGAAUCAUUGGGCGUAAAGCGCGUGUAGGUGGUUAUGUAAGUCGAAUGUGAAAUCCCUGGGCUCAACCGAGGAAGUGCAUUCGAAACUGCAUAGCUAGAGGACGGUAGAGGAAGGUGGAAUUCCAAGUGUAGAGGUGAAAUUCGUAGAUAUUUGGAGGAAUACCGGUGGCGAAGGCGGCCUUCUGGGCCGGCCCUGACACUGAGACGCGAAAGCGUGGGUAGCAAACAGG
Molecule: ribosomal RNA, 430 nt
Filed under: uncultured bacterium
Lineage: Bacteria
Description: bacterial SSU rRNA
Rfam family: Bacterial small subunit ribosomal RNA
Source: RNAcentral